RNAcentral lists this ribosomal RNA (361 nucleotides) under uncultured Actinomycetes bacterium. Its description in RNAcentral is "bacterial SSU rRNA". It matches the Rfam family "Bacterial small subunit ribosomal RNA", at positions 430 to 803 of the family's 1533-position model. Lineage: Bacteria; Bacillati; Actinomycetota; Actinomycetes. The record is from RNAcentral.
CCGCUUUCAGCAGGGAAGAAGCGAAAGUGACGGUACCUGCAGAAGAAGCACCGGCUAACUAUGUGCCAGCAGCCGCGGUAAUACAUAGGGUGCAAGCGUUGUCCGGAAUUAUUGGGCGUAAAGAGCUCGUAGGUGGUUCGUCACGUCGGAUGUGAAACUCUGGGGCUUAACCCCAGACCUGCAUUCGAUACGGGCGAGCUUGAGUAUGGUAGGGGAGUCUGGAAUUCCUGGUGUAGCGGUGGAAUGCGCAGAUAUCAGGAGGAACACCAAUGGCGAAGGCAGGACUCUGGGCCAUUACUGACACUGAGGAGCGAAAGCGUGGGGAGCGAACAGGAUUAGAUACCCUGGUAGUCCACGCCGU